This 710-nucleotide ribosomal RNA is filed under the name uncultured bacterium. RNAcentral describes it as "bacterial SSU rRNA". It matches the Rfam family "Bacterial small subunit ribosomal RNA", at positions 30 to 717 of the family's 1533-position model. The record is from RNAcentral.
GGAAAAAUGGGGGGAGGCUAAACAUGCAAGUCGAGCGGAAACGAGUUAACUGAACCUUCGGGGAACGUUAACGGCGUCGAGCGGCGGACGGGUGAGUAAUGCCUGGGAAAUUGCCCUGAUGUGAGGGAUAACCAUUGGAAACGAUGGCUAAUACCGCAUAAUAGCUUCGGCUCAAAGAGGGGGACCUUCGGGCCUCUCGCGUCAGGAUAUGCCCAGGUGGGAUUAGCUAGUUGGUGAGGUAAUGGCUCACCAAGGCGACGAUCCCUAGCUGGUCUGAGAGGAUGAUCAGCCACACUGGAACUGAGACACGGUCCAGACUCCUACGGGAGGCAGCAGUGGGGAAUAUUGCACAAUGGGCGCAAGCCUGAUGCAGCCAUGCCGCGUGUAUGAAGAAGGCCUUCGGGUUGUAAAGUACUUUCAGCAGUGAGGAAGGUGGGUAUGUUAAUAGCAUACACAUUUGACGUUAGCUGCAGAAGAAGCACCGGCUAACUCCGUGCCAGCAGCCGCGGUAAUACGGAGGGUGCGAGCGUUAAUCGGAAUUACUGGGCGUAAAGCGCAUGCAGGUGGUUUGUUAAGUCAGAUGUGAAAGCCCGGGGCUCAACCUCGGAAUUGCAUUUGAAACUGGCAAACUAGAGUACUGUAGAGGGGGGUAGAAUUUCAGGUGUAGCGGUUGAAAUGCUUAGCAGAUCUGAUAGGAAUAUCUGGUGGCU